AUGGAAUCCAGCUUGAAAGCUACUCAAGAGCAGCUAACUGAGCAAAUAGCAGAAACAGUUCGCCAAGAACAGAACAGUAGAAAACCCCAGGCAGAGCUGAAGACAGUGACAGAAGGGAUUAUUGCUUCUGAAGAAGAAAAAAAUGAUUACAAAGGAUGCAUCUGCUUCCUAUUCUGAACAUGGUUCUACUUACAACCUAAUUGCGCUACCCUACACUGCCCUAUUAUUUUCUGAGUCUGAGCCUACAUUUUAGGCCAAUCAUCGAAGAGGACAGGAAGAGAAGACUUGGAAAUUGAAGGCUACACAUAUACAUACUAGUCUGGUUCCAUAUAUCAGUAUAGCUGCUUCAUAUUGUGUGAGCAUGCAGCUCUAUGCUUUAGGCUUGUCCUCACGAUUUCCUGAGAUAGGUCAGAAUUAUUGUCUCCAUAUGAGGUGUGAUAUUUGUCAUCUAAUGAUAAAUGGUUGAAUGAUUUAAG
RNAcentral lists this long non-coding RNA (476 nucleotides) under Felis catus (domestic cat). RNAcentral's name for it is "lncRNA (ENSFCAG00000047268.1)". The record is from RNAcentral. Lineage: Eukaryota; Metazoa; Chordata; Mammalia; Carnivora; Felidae.